Molecule: ribosomal RNA, 525 nt
Filed under: uncultured bacterium
Lineage: Bacteria
Description: bacterial SSU rRNA
Rfam family: Bacterial small subunit ribosomal RNA
Source: RNAcentral
CUGAGACACGGACCAGACUCCUACGGGAGGCAGCAGUGAGGAAUAUUGGUCAAUGGGCGAGAGCCUGAACCAGCCAAGUCGCGUGAGGGAGUACUGCCCUAUGGGUUGUAAACCUCUUUUGUCGGGGAGCAAAAGCCGGACGUGUCCGUCUGUGAGAGUACCCGAAGAAAAAGCAUCGGCUAACUCCGUGCCAGCAGCCGCGGUAAUACGGAGGAUGCGAGCGUUAUCCGGAUUUAUUGGGUUUAAAGGGUGCGCAGGCGGAUUUUUAAGUCAGCGGUCAAAUCGUGGGGCUCAACCCCAUCCAGCCGUUGAAACUGGGGAUCUAGAGUGUGCGAGAGGUAUGCGGAAUGCGUGGUGUAGCGGUGAAAUGCAUAGAUAUCACGCAGAACCCCGAUUGCGAAGGCAGCAUACCGGUGCACAACUGACGCUCAGGCACGAAAGCAUGGGUAUCGAACAGGAUUAGAUACCCUGGUAGUCCACGCAGUAAACGAUGAAUGCUACCUGUUUGGCCAGAUUGAAGGCUGA